Molecule: ribosomal RNA, 497 nt
Filed under: uncultured bacterium
Lineage: Bacteria
Description: partial 16S ribosomal RNA
Rfam family: Bacterial small subunit ribosomal RNA
Source: RNAcentral
GAUGAACGCUGGCGGCGUGCCUAAUACAUGCAAGUCGAGCGAACGGACGAGAAGCUUGCUUCUCUGAUGUUAGCGGCGGACGGGUGAGUAAAACGUGGAUAACCUACCUAUAAGACUGGGAUAACUUCGGGAAACCGGAGCUAAUACCGGAUAAUAUUUUGAACCGCAUGGUUCAAAAGUGAAAGACGGUCUUGCUGUCACUUAUAGAUGGAUCCGCGCUGCAUUAGCUAGUUUGUAAGGUAACGGGUUACCAAGGCAACGAUGCAUAGCCGACCUGAGAGGGUGAUCGGCCACACUGGAACUGAGACACGGUCCAGACUCCUACGGGAGGCAGCAGUAGGGUAUCUUCCGCAAUGGGCGAAAGCCUGACGGAGCAACGCCGCGUGAGUGAUGAAGGUCUUCGGAUCGUAAAACUCUGUUAUUAGGGAAGAACAUAUGUGUAAGUAACUGUGCACAUCUUGACGGUACCUAAUCAGAAAGCCACGGCUAACUACGUG